Ribosomal RNA from Danio rerio (zebrafish), 117 nucleotides. The record is from Ensembl. Lineage: Eukaryota; Metazoa; Chordata; Actinopteri; Cypriniformes; Danionidae.
GUGUGCAGCCAUAUCACCCUUUAGUUCAAGACCAGUUACACACUGAAGCUAAGCAGGGGUGAGCCUGGUCAGUACCUGGAUGGGCGAGCACAUGGGAAAACUAGGUUUCUGUGAGAA